GACGAACGCUGGCGGCGUGCCUAAUACAUGCAAGUAGAACGCUGAAGAGAGGAGCUUGCUCUUCUUGGAUGAGUUGCGAACGGGUGAGUAACGCGUAGGUAACCUGCCUUGUAGCGGGGGAUAACUAUUGGAAACGAUAGCUAAUACCGCAUAACAAUAGGUGACACAUGUCAUUUAUUUGAAAGGGGCAAUUGCUCCACUACAAGAUGGACCUGCGUUGUAUUAGCUAGUAGGUGAGGUAACGGCUCACCUAGGCGACGAUACAUAGCCGACCUGAGAGGGUGAUCGGCCACACUGGGACUGAGACACGGCCCAGACUCCUACGGGAGGCAGCAGUAGGGAAUCUUCGGCAAUGGGGGCAACCCUGACCGAGCAACGCCGCGUGAGUGAAGAAGGUUUUCGGAUCGUAAAGCUCUGUUGUAAGUCAAGAACGAGUGUGAGAGUGGAAAGUUCACACUGUGACGGUAGCUUACCAGAAAGGGACGGCUAACUACGUGCCAGCAGCCGCGGUAAUACGUAGGUCCCGAGCGUUGUCCGGAUUUAUUGGGCGUAAAGCGAGCGCAGGCGGUUUGAUAAGUCUGAAGUUAAAGGCUGUGGCUCAACCGUAGUUCGCUUUGGAAACUGUCAAACUUGAGUGCAGAAGGGGAGAGUGGAAUUCCAUGUGUAGCGGUGAAAUGCGUAGAUAUAUGGAGGAACACCGGUGGCGAAAGCGGCUCUCUGGUCUGUAACUGACGCUGAGGCUCGAAAGCGUGGGGAGCGAACAGGAUUAGAUACCCUGGUAGUCCACGCCGUAAACGAUGAGUGCUAGGUGUUGGAUCCUGUCCGGGAUUCAGUGCCGCAGCUAACGCAUUAAGCACUCCGCCUGGGGAGUACGACCGCAAGGUUGAAACUCAAAGGAAUUGACGGGGGCCCGCACAAGCGGUGGAGCAUGUGGUUUAAUUCGAAGCAACGCGAAGAACCUUACCAGGUCUUGACAUCCCGAUGCUAUUUCUAGAGAUAGAAAGUUACUUCGGUACAUCGGUGACAGGUGGUGCAUGGUUGUCGUCAGCUCGUGUCGUGAGAUGUUGGGUUAAGUCCCGCAACGAGCGCAACCCCUAUUGUUAGUUGCCAUCAUUCAGUUGGGCACUCUAGCGAGACUGCCGGUAAUAAACCGGAGGAAGGUGGGGAUGACGUCAAAUCAUCAUGCCCCUUAUGACCUGGGCUACACACGUGCUACAAUGGUUGGUACAACGAGUUGCGAGUCGGUGACGGCAAGCUAAUCUCUUAAAGCCAAUCUCAGUUCGGAUUGUAGGCUGCAACUCGCCUACAUGAAGUCGGAAUCGCUAGUAAUCGCGGAUCAGCACGCCGCGGUGAAUACGUUCCCGGGCCUUGUACACACCGCCCGUCACACCACGAGAGUUUGUAACACCCGAAGUCGAAGAGGUAACCUUUUGGAGCCAGCCGCCUAAGGUG
RNAcentral lists this ribosomal RNA (1452 nucleotides) under uncultured organism. RNAcentral's name for it is "16S ribosomal RNA". It matches the Rfam family "Bacterial small subunit ribosomal RNA". The record is from RNAcentral.